UACAGAGGGGGCAAGCGUUGUUCGGAAUUACUGGGCGUAAAGGGCGCGUAGGCGGCCUGCUAAGUCGAACGUGAAAUCCCUGGGCUCAACCCAGGAACUGCGUCCGAUACUGGUUGGCUUGAAUCCGGGAGAGGGAUGUGGAAUUCCAGGUGUAGCGGCGAAAUGCGUAGAUAUCUGGAGGAACACCGGUGGCGAAGGCGACAUCCUGGACCGGUAUUGACGCUGAGGCGCGAAAGCCAGGGGAGCAAACGGGG
RNAcentral lists this ribosomal RNA (254 nucleotides) under uncultured bacterium. RNAcentral's name for it is "partial 16S ribosomal RNA". It matches the Rfam family "Bacterial small subunit ribosomal RNA", at positions 524 to 777 of the family's 1533-position model. The record is from RNAcentral.